UGGGGAAUCUUCCGCAAUGGACGAAAGUCUGACGGAGCAACGCCGCGUGAGUGAUGACGGCCUUCGGGUUGUAAAGCUCUGUUAAUCGGGACGAAAGGCCUUCUUGCGAAUAGUUAGAAGGAUUGACGGUACCGGAAUAGAAAGCCACGGCUAACUACGUGCCAGCAGCCGCGGUAAUACGUAGGUGGCAAGCGUUGUCCGGAAUUAUUGGGCGUAAAGCGCGCGCAGGCGGAUAGGUCAGUCUGUCUUAAAAGUUCGGGGCUUAACCCCGUGAUGGGAUGGAAACUGCCAAUCUAGAGUAUCGGAGAGGAAAGUGGAAUUCCUAGUGUAGCGGUGAAAUGCGUAGAUAUUAGGAAGAACACCAGUGGCGAAGGCGACUUUCUGGACGAAAACUGACGCUGAGGCGCGAAAGCCAGGGGAGCGAACGGGAUUAGAUACCCCGGUAGUCCUGGCCGUAAACGAUGGGUACUAGGUGUAGGAGGUAUCGACCCCUUCUGUGCCGGAGUUAACGCAAUAAGUACCCCGCCUGGGGAGUACGACCGCAAGGUUG
RNAcentral lists this ribosomal RNA (550 nucleotides) under uncultured bacterium. Its description in RNAcentral is "bacterial SSU rRNA". It matches the Rfam family "Bacterial small subunit ribosomal RNA", at positions 355 to 896 of the family's 1533-position model. The record is from RNAcentral.